RNAcentral lists this ribosomal RNA (804 nucleotides) under Triticum aestivum (bread wheat). RNAcentral's name for it is "partial small subunit ribosomal RNA". Lineage: Eukaryota; Viridiplantae; Streptophyta; Magnoliopsida; Poales; Poaceae. The record is from RNAcentral.
AUGGACACCUUCUUCUUGUCGCACGGCUCGCCCUUGCUGUCCAUCGACGAGACGAUCCCGGCGCAGAGCUUCUUCAAGUCGUGGCUGCCAGCGGCCGUCGUGGUCCCGGAGCUGCGGCGCUCCAUCCUGGUGGUGUCGGCGCACUGGGAGACGGACGCCCCGGACAUCCGCGUCAUCCGCAGCAACAACGACACCAUCUACGACUGGCUGAAGAGUGGUAGCCCUUUGUGUCGUUUGUCACUAAAGUAUCCUGCGCCCGGAGCUCCUAAUCUGGCCAAGAGAACCAAAGAGCUAGUGGAGUAGGCUGGGUUCAGGCCGGUGAGAGAGGACCACAGCCGCGGGCUCGACCAUGGCGCAUGGGUGCCCUUGAUGUUCAUGUACCCGAAGGCUGACAUCCCGGUGUGCCAGCUCUCCGUGCAGACCCAUCGCAACGGCACCUACCACUACAACCCGGGCAAGGUGCUGGCUCCCCUCAGGGGCGAAGGCGUCCUCGUCCUCGGCUCCGGCAGUGCGACGCACAACCUCGGCAAGAUGGGGCGCGACGACGAACUGGUGCUGCAGUGGGCCUCCGACUUCGACACUUGGCUCAGGGACCCGCUUCUCGUCGGGAGGUACAACGACGUGAACCACUACGAGGAGAAGGCGCCGCACGCCAAGACGGCGCACCCGUCGCCGGAGCAUUUCUACCCGCUGCUCGUCGCGCUCGGCGCCGCCGAGGACGAGCCCAAGUGGCCCUGCAUCCACCAUAGCUGGGCCGAAGCCAACAUGCCAUACGCCUCGUACCGUUUCACCACAAAGGACUAG